This 423-nucleotide ribosomal RNA is filed under the name uncultured bacterium. RNAcentral describes it as "partial 16S ribosomal RNA". It matches the Rfam family "Bacterial small subunit ribosomal RNA", at positions 359 to 774 of the family's 1533-position model. The record is from RNAcentral.
GAAUCUUCCACAAUGGGCGAAAGCCUUAUGGAUCAACGCCGCGUGAGUGAAGAAGGAGUUCGGAUCGUAAAACUCUGUUGUAAGGGAAGAACAAGUACAGUAGUAACUGGCUGUACCUUGACGGUACGUUAUUAGAAAGCCACGGCUACCUACGUGCCUGCAGCCGCGGUCAUACGUAGGUGGCAAGCGUUGUCCGGAAUUAUUGGGCGUAAAGCGCGCGCAGGCGGUCCUUUAAGUCUGAUGUGAAAGCCCACGGCUCAACCGUGGAGGGUCAUUGGAAACUGGGGGACUUGAGUGCAGAAGAGGAAAGUGGAAUUCCAAGUGUAGCGGUGAAAUGCGUAGAGAUUUGGAGGAACACCAGUGGCGAAGGCGACUUUCUGGUCUGUAACUGACGCUGAGGCGCGAAAGCGUGGGGAGCAAACA